UGCAGUUCGAGCGGACAGAUGGGAGCUUGCUCCCUGAUGUUAGCGGCGGACGGGUGAGUAACACGUGGGUAACCUGCCUGUAAGACUGGGAUAACUCCGGGAAACCGGGGCUAAUACCGGAUGCUUGUUUGAACCGCAUGGUUCAAACAUAAAAGGUGGCUUCGGCUACCACUUACAGAUGGACCCGCGGCGCAAUAGCUAGUUGGUGAGGUAACGGCUCACCAAGGCAACGAUGCGUAGCCCACCUGAGAGGGUGAUCGGCCACACUGGGACUGAGACACGGCCCAGACUCCUACGGGAGGCAGCAGUAGGGAAUCUUCCGCAAUGGACGAAAGUCUGACGGAGCAACGCCCCGUGAGUGAUGAAGGUUUUCGGAUCGUAAAGCUCUGUUGUUAGGGAAGAACAAGUACCGUUCGAAUAGGGCGGUACCUUGACGGUACCUAACCAGAAAGCCACGGCUAACUACGUGCCAGCAGCCGCGGUAAUACGUAGGUGGCAAGCGUUGUCCGGAAUUAUUGGGCGUAAAGGGCUCGCAGGCGGUUUCUUAAGUCUGAUGUGAAAGCCCCCGGCUCAACCGGGGAGGGUCAUUGGAAACUGGGGAACUUGAGUGCAGAAGAGGAGAGUGGAAUUCCACGUGUAGCGGUGAAAUGCGUAGAGAUGUGGAGGAACACCAGUGGCGAAAGCGACUCUCUGGUCUGUAACUGACGCUUAGGAGCGAAAGCGUGGGGAGCGAACAGGAUUAGAUACCCUGGUAGUCCACGCCGUAAACGAUGAGUGCUAAGUGUUAGAGGGUUUCCGCCCCUUAGUGCUGCAGCUAACGCAUUAAGCACUCCGCCUGGGGAGUACGGUCGCAAGACUG
Molecule: ribosomal RNA, 859 nt
Filed under: Bacillus subtilis
Lineage: Bacteria; Bacillati; Bacillota; Bacilli; Caryophanales; Bacillaceae
Description: bacterial SSU rRNA
Rfam family: Bacterial small subunit ribosomal RNA
Source: RNAcentral